AAGGAGGGGGAUUGAGGGAUGAAUGGAGGAAGGGAGAAAAGGGAGAGGGAGGUGUUUAAGACAGUGGCACCUCCAGUUCUUCUGCUUCCUCUGGCAAAAGAAUCAAGAUUUCCUUGAUUUACCAUGCAGCCAGGUCUGCUGCAGAGACCCCACCUUUCACCACAUGGUAGAAAUGGAGGAAUGUUAAUGUCUGGUUUCUAUUCUGAUAGAAUUAGGAUUCCGUUUCUGUAGUGUAAGUCAUCGAGUAAGCAGAAUCCAAGGCACCCUGAAAAAAAAAAGCUUCAGGACAAACACAUAAUAACAUAUGGUCUUGCAGAGCUGUAAUUCUGGUGUUCAGGAAGCUGAGGCAGGAGGAUCACUGUGAAUUCAAGGUCUCCCCCAGCUUCAUGGACGCUGGAAGGUAAGUACCCAUCAAAAAACUAAUUUCCCACGCUGGGAGAUUUUAUCAACCACUCUAGUGCCUCAGCUCUCUUUGCCUCCACAACUCCAGAGCUGGCUUUCUUUGUGUGCUUGGCACAGCAGGGGGCAUCUGUGUGCACUGCAGAUGUUCUUACCCAUGCUCCUUUUUGGCAGGCGUCUCUGUGAUGACUAAUAUUGGCGCUGUCGUGAAGCCCAGUCAGCUCUUGCUUGCAAGCUUUUGCCAGCAGCCUCACCUUCAAGAUUCGAAAACCCACACAGUUUACAAUCCCAUCCAAGGCACCUCUGGGAAGACCUUAAAGUUUCAUUUGUUAGAAGGUGGGAAAGGGCUGGCAAGAUGGCUCAGUGAGUAAAGGUGCUUGCUGCCAAACCUGAUGACUUGAGUUCAAUUCCCUGGGUCCGCAGGAUGAAUGGAGAGAACUAACUCUUGCAAGUUGGUUCUUCUGAUUCUAAUGAGUGCUGUUAUGAGGUCAGCUGUCAGUGUUGAUGUGUCUCCCUCAACAAUCUGCACUAUGGCUUUACUCCCAUCAAGCUACCUCACUUCUUUUGUGAGUCUGUGUGAGCCCUGUUUUCAAUUCUUCGUAUAAGAAGCCUAGUAACCAGAACUACCUGACCCCAGACCCUAACCAACAAUAACAGUUCAGUGUCCUAGAAAAAUGAGGAUAGCUAAUUACUGGAAUAGCCAAGAUUCCCAAGAUUCCUGAAUGCUGUGCUGUCUAUAUUAUAUUGACAGAGGAAGAUUAUAAACUAGAAAUGAAGGCUUUGUGCUGGCACCCAAUGACUAUAACCCUUAAUGUCACAAUCUCACGUGAACCUGGGUUGGAACCCCAAACAAGACCCUGACUCAGUUGUCUUUGUAUUGUGAUGACCAAACAUGACUUGGUGAGGGAAGUUUAUUUGACUUAUACAUCCAGAUCAGAGUCUCUCAUAAAAGGAAGUUGGGGCAGGAACCUGGAUACAAGAACUGAUGCAGAGGUCACAGAGGAACCCUACCCAUUGGCUCACCCAGCCUGCUUUCUGAUACCACCCAGGACCACCUUCCCAGGAGUGACACUACUCUGCAGAGGGCUGGGCGAUCCCUCAUCAAUGAUUAAUGGAGAAAAUGCCACACAGACUUCCCAGCAGGCAAUCCAAUGCAGGCACUUUCUCAACUUUCCCUCUUCACAGAUGAUCCAAGCUUGUAUCCAGUUGACAACAAAACCCCACAAAAAUGAAACAAAAAACAAACAAACAAACAAACAAACAAAAAACAAAACAAAACAAAAAACUAACUGGCCCAACCCUGGAUUGCAAAACAGGGCCCUGAGAGAAAUUACAGAAGGCUUUUCAAUCCCUUUCUCAAACCCUGCUGUGUGAACCAUGUUGGAGGAGCUUGUUCUGAGAUGCUCCAUGCAAAUGAGAUGGGAAAGAGAAAGGACAGAACUACCUGACUCACAGGCACCAUCUGGAUGUCCUGCCUCAGCUUGCCCACAAAAGCAAUGGCAGUGGGCGAGAAGAAACCAAAGAGAACCUGUACUGUCAGGGUGACUUGGGGUGGAGCAGACGUUGCACACUGGAGCGAAUGCCACCGAGUCAGUGACGCAGAGUCUCCAGUUAUCGGUAAGCACCGCUGACAGAAGAGCUUGCAGAUACAGGCUGUGGACGCAAGCCACAGGUGAGGAGACGCUGAGAGGUUUCCUGUCAGGCUCUAGGAAGGAUCCAGGCAAACCUGGCACCACGCCUGUCAUUUAGCCUUGUUGUCCCCAAGCCAUCCAAGGGCAGGUAGCAUUCUAUCCAAGUCUCUAGGAAUAAGGGGGAUUGGGGCUGUAACUUUAAUUUCAAAUCCUAUUUUUAACAAUGGUCCUUAAAACGCUUUAACCUCCCUUGUAGCCCACCACCCACCAGAGGUACUGGUAAAGCAAGGAAGUGAACCUGUUUACAAAGUUUCCUUAGAGCAGCUCUCACCUGUGAUGUCUGGAAGUGGGGCAGUUCAGCUCACAGGUCAGCAGAGGCAACUCGAUCCACGCACAAAUGCUUCAUGGGUACAUCAGCUGUCUAGUUCAGUAGAGUCGGGAUGGCAUUCAGCAGGGGUGGCACUACGUAACGGAGACAGCCAGGCCUCAACCUUGGCAGCAGGAGGGACCAGGAGGAAUGCCAGGAGAAGUUCUAGGCUGUGUCUCUCUCAGUAAAACGAAGCUCACUGAAGACAAGAGGUCAGCAAGCAUUAUACAGUGAGCUUUCUAAGCAAGCCUAGCUGAGCCUCCACCACAGUCCCUGGGGUCCUAUUGAGACCCCCCCCAAACAUCACAAGUCCUCCAUGGGUCUUGCCUUAGCAUGUAUCUUGUCUUAGCACGUGCAUCCGUCUCAGCUGAUAUCACUCUGCCCAUCGAGGAAGCAGCAGGAAACUACAGCACACCACCAGAAGUUUUUUGGUCCAUUUCUCUCAAAUGAAGCCAGCUCAACCACACAACAUAAGAAGAAAUGUCAGACUUUCUGUGAGCGAUAAGAAUGUGGCCUACAGCAGAGACCUCCUGAUUUCACUUCAACUCCACCAGGAGGCUGAAGACCAGACACACUGAGAUGCACCUACGGUGGGAAAACCUGGUCUAUAGAACAGCACCCACCAUGACCUGAGGUCCCUUGGAGAGCUGUGUCUAUGUGAAGGAUCCUGCAGACUGCCUGCCCUGGGCUGGAGAGACCACUGAGGCUGACUGGAACAUUGCAAGCAAACUGCUAGAAUUAUCUUCUGUUCUCUUUAGCCCUUUCAUAUAGAUUAUUGUCCCUUCUAGACAUCCUUACUUAGCAUCCUUACUUUUAUCAUUUAACUUAAAGUAGCGCUAUUCUCUACCAACCUUAAAGCUAAAAUUGUGCUCAAAGAGUUGUCCUACCUUGCUUCUGUGUUCUUGCUACCAUGUUGCUUCUACUCAAUGACCCACUCGUGUAUCCUUUAGGUUCAUGAAUUUGUGACUUCCUUUUACUCUGUGAUCACAUCAGCUUAUGCAAUCUCUUCUAAUGGUGGCACAUGUCUUUCAAGGAAAUUUGAAUCCAGGUCCCCAAGCUGUGGUCAGUUAUAUCAUCUGAACCAGUAUAAACCAGUUUGUUUACUUCUGUUUUGUUUUGUUUUUAUUUUUUGAGAGAAAGAGAGGAUUUCUCUCUAGGAUGUAGCCCAGGUUGGCCUAGAACUCACUACAUAACCCAGACUUGUUUCUAACUCACAAUCCUCCAGUCUCAGCUUCCUGAGUGCUAAGAUUACACUUCUGCGACAUUAUUUCAAGCAGGCUAGUUUUCUAUUUCUUUGAAGCAUGGUUGUCAUUUUAUGCCAGUAACAUUUAUAUACUUAACCUAUUUUAAAAGGGGGCCUGGGGCUGGAGAGAUAGAUGACUUAGUGUCUAAGGGUACUG
RNAcentral lists this small RNA (3797 nucleotides) under Rattus norvegicus (Norway rat). Its description in RNAcentral is "uncharacterized LOC102552777". Lineage: Eukaryota; Metazoa; Chordata; Mammalia; Rodentia; Muridae. The record is from RNAcentral.